GACGAACGCUGGCGGCGUGCCUAAUACAUGCAAGUUGAGCGAUGAAGAUUGGUGCUUGCACCAAUUUGAAGAGCAGCGAACGGGUGAGUAACGCGUGGGGAAUCUGCCUUUGAGCGGGGGACAACAUUUGGAAACGAAUGCUAAUACCGCAUAAUAACUUUAAACAUAAGUUUUAAGUUUGAAAGAUGCAAUUGCAUCACUCAAAGAUGAUCCCGCGUUGUAUUAGCUAGUUGGUGAGGUAAAGGCUCACCAAGGCGAUGAUACAUAGCCGACCUGAGAGGGUGAUCGGCCACAUUGGGACUGAGACACGGCCCAAACUCCUACGGGAGGCAGCAGUAGGGAAUCUUCGGCAAUGGACGAAAGUCUGACCGAGCAACGCCGCGUGGGUGAAGAAGGUUGUCGGAUCGUAAAACUCUGUUGGUAGAGAAGAACGUUGGUGAGAGUGGAAAGCUCAUCAAGUGACGGUAACUACCCAGAAAGGGACGGCUAACUACGUG
This 497-nucleotide ribosomal RNA is filed under the name uncultured bacterium. RNAcentral's name for it is "partial 16S ribosomal RNA". It matches the Rfam family "Bacterial small subunit ribosomal RNA", at positions 28 to 507 of the family's 1533-position model. The record is from RNAcentral.